ACGGACGAGGCCCCUUCGGGGACCGAGUUAGUGGCGAAGGGUGAGUAACGCGUGAGGAACCUGCCUUUCAGUGGGGGACAACAGUUGGAAACGACUGCUAAUACCGCAUGAAGCAUUUAGGGGGCAUCCCCUGAAUGCCAAAGAUUUAUUGCUGAAAGAUGGCCUCGCGUCUGAUUAGCUAGUUGGAGGGGUAACGGCCCACCAAGGCGACGAUCAGUAGCCGGUCUGAGAGGAUGAACGGCCACAUUGGGACUGAGAUACGGCCCAGACUCCUACGGGAGGCAGCAGUGGGGAAUAUUGGGCAAUGGGGGAAACCCUGACCCAGCAACGCCGCGUGAAGGAAGAAGGCUUUCGGGUUGUAAACUUCUUUUACCAGGGACGAAGAAAGUGACGGUACCUGGAGAAAAAGCCACGGCUAACUACGUGCCAGCAGCCGCGGUAAUACGUAGGUGGCAAGCGUUGUCCGGAUUUACUGGGUGUAAAGGGCGUGUAGGCGGAGAUUCAAGUCAGGAGUGAAAACUAUGGGCUUAACCCAUAAACUGCUUUUGAAACUGAAUCCCUUGAGUAUCGGAGAGGCAGGCGGAAUUCCUAGUGUAGCGGUGAAAUGCGUAGAUAUUAGGAGGAACACCAGUGGCGAAGGCGGCCUGCUGGACGACAACUGACGCUGAGGCGCGAAA
Molecule: ribosomal RNA, 677 nt
Filed under: uncultured bacterium
Lineage: Bacteria
Description: bacterial SSU rRNA
Rfam family: Bacterial small subunit ribosomal RNA
Source: RNAcentral